RNAcentral lists this ribosomal RNA (849 nucleotides) under uncultured eukaryote. RNAcentral's name for it is "bacterial SSU rRNA". It matches the Rfam family "Eukaryotic small subunit ribosomal RNA", at positions 1 to 890 of the family's 1831-position model. The record is from RNAcentral.
AACCUGGUUGAUCCUGCCAGUAGUCAUAUGCUUGUCUCGCAGAUUAAGCCAUGCAUGCCUAAGUGUAAAUACUUUACAUUGAAACUGCGAAUGGCUCAUUACAACAGUUAUAGUUUGCUUGGAGCAUCCAAUCCACCGGAUAUCCGUGGAAAUCCUACAGUUAGUACGUAGCAGCUUCUUUUGAAGCGUUGCAUAUUACUGUGAACAAGUGGCAGAAUUUAUUCUGUCUUACUUGAAAACUUUUAUGUACGAAUCGUGUUCCUACACGAAAGUCCAUCAAAGUUUCUGACCUAUCAGGUUUCGACGGUUGGGUAUUGGCCAACCGUGCCGAUAACGGGUAACGGGGGAUUAGGGUUUGAUCCCGGAGAGGGAGCAUGAGAGAUGGCUACCACAUCUAAGGAAGGCAGCAGGCGCGCAAAUUACCUAUCCCUGACGCAGGGAGGUAGUAAACAGAAAUAAUGACGCAUGAUUCUAAUCGUGCGAUCGGAAUGAGUAGGCUUUAAACAAGCUUACGAAUACAAUUGGAGGGCAAGUCUGGUGCCAGCAGCCGCGGUAAUUCCAGCUCCAAUAGCGUAUAUUAAAGUUGUUGCAGUUAAAAAGUUCGUAGUCGAACAUCAUCUGCUUGAUUGUUUUGGCGUCUAUGACGUUCCAGACAUUUCCAGCAGAGAGCGUGCGAAAAUGUUGUUAUGCGUUUCGUAUAGCAUAGUUUUCGCAUAUUACUUUGAGUGAAUCGGCGUGUUCCACGCAGGCCAGCGCCUUGAACGAUUUACCAAAGUAUAAUAAGAGUAUGCAAGCGUUUCUUUGCUUGUUUAGAAAUGCUUUUCAUACCGAUAAGAACGGCCGAGGGCA